UUGCUUCUCUUGAGAGCGGCGGACGGGUGAGUAAAGCCUAGGAAUCUGCCUGGUAGUGGGGGAUAACGUUCGGAAACGGACGCUAAUACCGCAUACGUCCUACGGGAGAAAGCAGGGGACCUUCGGGCCUUGCGCUAUCAGAUGAGCCUAGGUCGGAUUAGCUAGUUGGUGAGGUAAUGGCUCACCAAGGCGACGAUCCGUAACUGGUCUGAGAGGAUGAUCAGUCACACUGGAACUGAGACACGGUCCAGACUCCUACGGGAGGCAGCAGUGGGGAAUAUUGGACAAUGGGCGAAAGCCUGAUCCAGCCAUGCCGCGUGUGUGAAGAAGGUCUUCGGAUUGUAAAGCACUUUAAGUUGGGAGGAAGGGCAUUAACCUAAUACGUUAGUGUUUUGACGUUACCGACAGAAUAAGCACCGGCUAACUCUGUGCCAGCAGCCGCGGUAAUACAGAGGGUGCAAGCGUUAAUCGGAAUUACUGGGCGUAAAGCGCGCGUAGGUGGUUUGUUAAGUUGGAUGUGAAAUCCCCGGGGCUCAACCUGGGAACUGCAUUCAAAACUGACUGACUAGAGUAUGGUAGAG
RNAcentral lists this ribosomal RNA (581 nucleotides) under Pseudomonas fluorescens. RNAcentral's name for it is "bacterial SSU rRNA". It matches the Rfam family "Bacterial small subunit ribosomal RNA", at positions 80 to 656 of the family's 1533-position model. The record is from RNAcentral. Lineage: Bacteria; Pseudomonadati; Pseudomonadota; Gammaproteobacteria; Pseudomonadales; Pseudomonadaceae.